GAUGAACGCUGGCGGCGUGCCUAAUACAUGCAAGUCGAGCGAACAGACGAGGAGUUUGCUCCUCUGACGUUAGCGGCGGACGGGAGAGUAACAUGUGGAUAACCUACCUAUAAGACUGGGAUAACUUCGGGAAACCGGAGCUAAUACCGGAUAAUAUAUUGAACCGCAUGGUUCAAUAGUGAAAGACGGUUUUGCUGUCACUUAUAGAUGGAUCCGCGCCGCAUUAGCUAGUUGGUAAGGUAACGGCUUACCAAGGCAACGAUGCGUAGCCGACCUGAGAGGGUGGUCGGCCACACUGGAACUGAGACACGGUCCAGACUCCUACGGGAGGCAGCAGUAGGGAAUCUUCCGCAAUGGGCGAGAGCUUGACGGAGCAACGCCGCGUGAGUGAUGAAGGUCUUCGGAUCGUAAAACUCUGUUAUUAGGGAAGAACAAAUGUGUAAGUAACUAUGCACGUCUUGACGGUACCUAAACAAAAAGCCACGGCUAACUACGUG
This 497-nucleotide ribosomal RNA is filed under the name uncultured bacterium. RNAcentral describes it as "partial 16S ribosomal RNA". It matches the Rfam family "Bacterial small subunit ribosomal RNA", at positions 28 to 507 of the family's 1533-position model. The record is from RNAcentral.